Molecule: ribosomal RNA, 459 nt
Filed under: Plesiolebias aruana
Lineage: Eukaryota; Metazoa; Chordata; Actinopteri; Cyprinodontiformes; Rivulidae
Description: partial 12S ribosomal RNA
Rfam family: Bacterial small subunit ribosomal RNA
Source: RNAcentral
GAAAAUUACAAGCAUAAGCUCAAAACUCAAAGGACUUGGCGGCGCUUUAGAUCCCCCUAGAGGAGCCUGUCCUAUAACCGAUAAUCCUCGUUAAACCUUACCUUCUUUUAACUAAAGUCUAUGUACCGCCGUCGUCAGCUCACCCCACAAAGGCCCCAAAGUUAGCAAAAUCGGUUUAGCCCCAAACGUCAGGUCGAGGUGUAACACAUAAGAAGUGAAGAGAUUGGCUACAUUUCCUACCUAAGGUGAAACAGAAAAUGCUUUGAAACAAGUCUUUUGAAGCUGGAUUUAGUAGUAAGUAAAAAAUAGAGUGUUUUACUGAAAUAGGCUCUUAAGCGCGCACACACCGCCCGUCGUUCUCUCCUAGCAUCUUCUUAAUAAUACAUAAUAAAAUAACAAUAACUAAGGAGAGACAAGUCGUAACAUGGUAAGUGCACUGGAAAGUGCACUUGGAUCAAU